RNAcentral lists this long non-coding RNA (929 nucleotides) under Neogobius melanostomus (round goby). RNAcentral's name for it is "lncRNA (ENSNMLG00000003005.1)". Lineage: Eukaryota; Metazoa; Chordata; Actinopteri; Gobiiformes; Gobiidae. The record is from RNAcentral.
ACUCCAUAGGUUUCCCAAAGUUCAAACAUGGCCAGUACACACUGCAAAGACCAAGUCUAUCAUACUGUAUAUGUCGCAUUUUAAAAAUAAUAAUAAUAAUAAAGUCUGAUGCUUGAGGUGACCAUUCAUUCUUUGCUUACAGUCAAGCUGAUGGCACUGCACAAACAAGAGGCUGUGAGCAGCAUAGGUCAUGAUUCUUCAAGAGCUCAUAAGAUUUAUCUGGCAUGGUCAAUGGCAGUGUAGAAGCAAAAAGGUGUCAGACAAUUGCUGUAGCUAACAAUGAACUAAAAUCUAGUGGCUGAUGAUAUCUUUGGCCCGUUCCAUCUUCUCCAUCCUCUGAAUUUCCUGCCUGAGGCGUUUGAAAGACAGAAAAGGCUUCUAAUACGUAUGGGUUGUCACAGGUACCUUCAGUGAGUUUUGCUGCAACCCACAUAACAAUUAUAACAAAUUUAGUUUAGAAGUGUUAGAAUACUUAUUUAUACUUUAUUGUGGACUGUGCAUGUUAAAGAACAUACAUGCUACUGUGCCGCCCAGUGCAAUCUAUUUGCCUGUCUUGUAGUUCAGACUUUACACCACCAGAUGGGAGAAUUUUUUUUUUAAGCUUGAUUGGCAAACUUACCAUACAUACAUACAUACAUACAUACAUGUAUAUGUUAAAUGUUUAUUUCUAGACAAUGCUACAAACUCAGCUUCCCUGGAACUCUUUUGCUGAGACCCACAGAGACAUCACUUGCAGAGGUUCAGCAGUUCAGUGUGCGCUGUGGUCCAGAGACUUUCCACUUUUUUUUUAGGUGGGGAUUUAGUCAAAUUGUGUCACACACAUGAUCACACUUUUGAAAGUAAAUGCAUUUUGUGGGUUAAAAUGUCACAAUCAAACAGAACAAAUGAAUAAUUAGUUACAUUACAUUUAGAAUUUAGAACAUUUCAGU